CCAUGUUGCCCAGGCCGGUCUCAAUCUCUUGACCUCGUGAUCUGCCUGCCUCGGCCUCCCAAAGUGCUGGGAUUACAGGCGUGACCCACCGCACCUGACCAGACAUACGCUUUCAUAUCUUUAUUAUGCAGAUUUGUGAAUAUUAUAAACAUUGAAUAGUAUAAUUUGCCAUCACUUAAGUUUUCCAGCUGAUGAUAAACUUUACUUGGUAAGACAAGUUUUUUUGCAUUGGCCUUCAGUAAAAUCUUUCACUUAGUUGAAAACAUUUUUAUAUGGGGAGGGGACGUAACUAAGGCAAUCUAGGUUUGUGAUUUUCUAUUACAAUUUGAUCCAAGAAAAAAUAUCAGUAAGUGUGUCAAUAUUAUCUUGUUUAGAUCAGUGUUUUAAAACUUGUAUGUUCGUAAGAACUGCCUAGGGCCCUUGUUAAAAUACAGAUUCCAAUGCCAGCUGCAGAUUUACUGAAUCAAAGUCUCUAGGCAAGGGGCCUGGGUGUAUAUUUAACAAAGGCACCAAGUGAUUUCUUAUGCUCAAACAGGUUUAAGGAACACUGCUGUAGAUGGUUUUCCUUGACUAUUUUUUUCCUCUCAGCUGGCCUUUGUAGCAGUCAUUUUGAGUAUAAAUUGUGAUAGGAGCCUGAGGCAAUAGCAUUAAAAGUGAGUUGGCAAAGCCCAGCAGAGCCAGUUUAAUUAGCUAGUUUGGAUAACUGUAAUGUCAUUUCCCCUUCUCAAGCUGUGGUGCUUCAGGAUGCUGCCCAUCAAGUUCCUUCCAGGUGUCUUUUCAUCUGUUAUUCCAUUGAUCCUUACACCAUCUCUGUGUGGUAGGCGGAACAAGUAAAAUAAUUGUAUUUCAUUGAUUUUUUUUUUAAGAUGCUCCCCUUUCUCACAAUUGUACAUCCCUAAUAAUAGUAUGCAUCUUAGAAUUGAUUGUCUAAAUAUGAAUAUUUUUUGCUAUUCUAGUGAUUUGUAAAGUAACGGUGCAUCUUACAUCCAAAAGUGUUGAAGAUUUGACGAACUGCCAUGGCUCCUUUCACAGAUGAGUCAUCUGAGAUACUAAGAAGGUGAUGUGACUGGAAAAUUGCUACUAGUUGAGAAAACCCAGCCUCAGAUCCAUCUUUCUGUUCCUGUACUAGUUUUCUGCUGCUGAGUAAUCAAUUACUCCAAAACUGAGUGGCUUAAAACAACAGUAAGCAUUUGUGGUCUCACAGUUUCUUGGAGUCAGGCAUCUAGGAGUGGUGUAGUUGAGUAGUUCUGGUUUGUGGUCUCUUACGAGGUUGCAGGGCUGCAGUCAUCUAAAAUUUGACUGGGGCUAGAGUUUCCACCGGACUCACAUGGCUGGCAAGUUGGUGCUGGUGUUGGGAGGCCUCGGCUCAUCCCCUUGUGGGCCUCUCCACAAGGUUCCUUUGAAGUGCUGCAACAUAGUGACUGGCUUCUACCCAAGCAUGUGAUCCAAGGAAUCAAGGCAAGAAAAGGUUGCAGUGUCUUUAUGACCUAGCUUCCGAAGUGUCAUACUAUCAUGUUUACCUAUUGGAUUUGCCACACAGGCCAGCCCUCAUUCAGUGUUCGAGGGGGCUACACAAGAGUUAUGGGUAUCAGGAGGUGAGGAUCACUGGGUGUCGGCUAUUUCCUUCAGACCACACAGCCUUUUAGACAUGGUUUUGUCCUUAUUAGCUUGGCCAUCUCAUACCCACAGGUCAGUCCUUAAAUUGAAUAAAUGGAAACUCCCUGUGAUUUAUGUUCCUUUCCAGCGCUUCCAGAACUUUAACAUGCCUAUAGAUCCACUGGGUCUUCUGUUAAAACACAGAUUCUGAUUCAUUAGGUCCCAAAUGCAGGCUGAGAUUCUUCAUUCUAGCAAGCAGAUGAUGCCUUUGCUUCUGGGCCAUGAACAACACUUUAAGUGGCAAAAUGAACAGACAGGCAGACUUCCAAUAGCACUUGCACUGCAACCCAAACUCUUCUCCUUCUCAAGAUGUACUUGCCUCUUCCUUUUCUUUUGCAGAGAGAUAACUGGUUUGGGGAGAAAUAACCAGAAAAACAGAGGAGCCUGCCUCGUGAAGUUGGUUAGCAAAAGGGAUGUAUGAAGCAGAUAAGAGCCAUGCAUUAUUAGGCCCCAGAUGAGGAAACGGCUUGCUAGCUCUUGUGAGUCAGCGACACAGGCAUCUCGGGCCCCACUCCUACUGCAGAGGUGCGGUGGAUCCUUGGUCUCCUGUCCCGUUCCAGAGCACACUCCAGAAAAGCAAAAGCCAUAAAGGAUAAAGUGACCUGACCAUGGCCAUGGGGAAAACCACUGGCUCAUCGGGAAUAGGUCAGACUAAGUUUUGGCCUUCAUGCUUCCUCGUGGUCCCCCGGUAGAACUUCCCUGCAGUGGACCUUAUUCUUUACAAUGUGAGUCAUUUGCAUUUGCUCUUACAUCUAUUAGGAGAACUUCUAUGUGGAUAUUCAAAAGGGGUGGGAGGAAUAAAGUUACUUGGUGAGUUCCUGUGCUAUUAAUGAGGUCUCUACCUCCAUGCCUGUUGAGACUGGUAUCUGAGGUGAACUCUUGUUACCUUUUCUGUUGAAUCUUAUUUUGGGGAGAAACCAAUAAUUGAAGUGAAACAGUGUAAGUGACUCUCCAAUGUAUCACAAGUUCUCUUCAACUCAAUUUAGAAAUAUCUCCUAUUAGGAAUGAAAACUUUAAGCAGAUGCCCCAUUCCAACCUCCCACCCCACCCCACCCCACCCCACCCCACCCCACCUUUUUUCUUUUGAACUCUUAUGCUUGUUUGUGGCACACUGAAUUAGCUUCUCAGGGACUUGCUGUGAAUAAUACCUUCCUCACAUUUAGAAAUGCGCUAGGUAUACAUUUGUUUGUUUAGAAUCAGAUCAUGUAUUUCCACGUAAAGACAUUUCAAAUAAUGCUUAGGUUCACAGGUGCCUUUUUUUUUUUUUUUUGAGACGGAGUCUC
Non-coding RNA from Chlorocebus sabaeus (green monkey), 2939 nucleotides. The record is from RefSeq and is a predicted model, not a curated record. Lineage: Eukaryota; Metazoa; Chordata; Mammalia; Primates; Cercopithecidae.